UACGUAGGUGGCAAGCGUUGUCCGGAAUUAUUGGGCGUAAAGCGCGCGCAGGCGGUUCUUUUAAGUCUGAUGUGAAAGCCCACGGCUCAACCGUGGAGGGUCAUUGGAAACUGGAGAACUUGAGUACAGAAGAGGAAAGCGGAAUUCCACGUGUAGCGGUGAAAUGCGUAGAGAUCGGGAGGAAUACCUGUGGCGAAGGCGGCCUACUGGGCCGGACCUGACGCUGAGACGCGAAGGCGUGGGGAGCGAACGGG
Molecule: ribosomal RNA, 254 nt
Filed under: uncultured bacterium
Lineage: Bacteria
Description: partial 16S ribosomal RNA
Rfam family: Bacterial small subunit ribosomal RNA
Source: RNAcentral